Molecule: ribosomal RNA, 277 nt
Filed under: uncultured Subdoligranulum sp.
Lineage: Bacteria; Bacillati; Bacillota; Clostridia; Eubacteriales; Oscillospiraceae
Description: partial 16S ribosomal RNA
Rfam family: Bacterial small subunit ribosomal RNA
Source: RNAcentral
AGGAGAAGGAAGCUUGCUUCUUUCAAAUCUAGUGGCAAACGGGUGAGUAACACGUAAACAACCUGCCUUCAGGAUGGGGACAACAGACGGAAACGACUGCUAAUACCGCAUAAGCCCACGGAUUCGCAUGGAUCUGCGGGAAAAGGAUUUAUUCGCUUCAGGAUGGACUCGCGUCCAAUUAGCUAGUUGGUGAGGUAACGGCCCACCAAGGCGACGAUUGGUAGCCGGACUGAGAGGUUGAACGGCCACAUUGGGACUGAGACACGGCCCAGACUCC